GAACGCUGGCGGCGUGCUUAACACAUGCAAGUCGAACGAUGAAGAAAAGAAUCGAAGCUUCGGCAGAAAUUCAUUUCGGAUUAGUGGCAGACGGGUGAGUAACGCGUGAGCAACCUACCUCUUACAAAGGGAUAGCCUCGGGAAACCGGGAUUAAUACCAUAUAACAUUGCGACGAAGCAUUUCGAUGCAAUCAAAGCUACGGCGGUAAGAGAUGGGCUCGCGUCCCAUUAACCGGAUGGUGAGGUAACGGCUCACCAUAGUGACGAUGGGUAACCGGCCUGAGAGGGUGAACGGUCACACUGGAACUGAGACACGGUCCAGACUCCUACGGGAGGCAGCAGUGGGGAAUAUUGCACAAUGGAGGGAACUCUGAUGCAGCGACGCCGCGUGAGUGAUGAAGGAAUUCGUUUCGUAAAACUCUGUUCUAUGGGAAGAAAAGGACUGUACCAUAGGAGAAAGCUCCGGCUAAAUACGUG
This 477-nucleotide ribosomal RNA is filed under the name uncultured bacterium. RNAcentral describes it as "partial 16S ribosomal RNA". It matches the Rfam family "Bacterial small subunit ribosomal RNA", at positions 31 to 507 of the family's 1533-position model. The record is from RNAcentral.